This 177-nucleotide ribosomal RNA is filed under the name Alcyonium digitatum. Its description in RNAcentral is "partial 5.8S ribosomal RNA". The stretch from base 7 to 159 matches the Rfam family "5.8S ribosomal RNA". From Rfam's summary of the family: 5.8S ribosomal RNA (5.8S rRNA) is a component of the large subunit of the eukaryotic ribosome. It is transcribed by RNA polymerase I as part of the 45S precursor that also contains 18S and 28S rRNA. Lineage: Eukaryota; Metazoa; Cnidaria; Anthozoa; Malacalcyonacea; Alcyoniidae. The record is from RNAcentral.
GUAUAUAACUUUUAACGGUGGAUCUCUUGGCUCGUGCAUCGAUGAAGAACGCAGCCAGCUGCGAUACGUAGUGUGAAUUGCAGAAUUUAGUGAAUCAUCGAAUCUUUGAACGCAAAUUGCGCUCUUGGUUAUACCGGGAGCAUGUCUGUCUGAGUGUUGGUAAACAAAACGUGAACG